UUAAAUUGAAGAGUUUGAUCAUGGCUCAGAUUGAACGCUGGCGGCAGGCCUAACACAUGCAAGUCGAACGGUAACAGGAAGAAGCUUGCUUCUUUGCUGACGAGUGGCGGACGGGUGAGUAAUGUCUGGGAAACUGCCUGAUGGAGAGGGAUAACUACUGGAAACGGUAGCUAAUACCGCAUAACGUCGCAAGACCAAAGAGGGGGACCUUCGGGCCUCUUGCCAUCGGAUGUGCCCAGAUGGGAUUAGCUAGUAGGUGGGGUAACGGCUCACCUAGGCGACGAUCCCUAGCUGGUCUGAGAGGAUGACCAGCCACACUGGAACUGAGACACGGUCCAGACUCCUACGGGAGGCAGCAGUGGGGAAUAUUGGCACAAUGGGCGCAAGCCUGAUGCAGCCAUGCCGCGUGUAUGAAGAAGGCCUUC
RNAcentral lists this ribosomal RNA (425 nucleotides) under Escherichia sp. E2593. RNAcentral's name for it is "bacterial SSU rRNA". It matches the Rfam family "Bacterial small subunit ribosomal RNA", at positions 1 to 419 of the family's 1533-position model. Lineage: Bacteria; Pseudomonadati; Pseudomonadota; Gammaproteobacteria; Enterobacterales; Enterobacteriaceae. The record is from RNAcentral.